GGGCCGUUAGCUCAGUUGGUAGAGCACCACAUUUGCAAUGUGGGGGUCGCAGGUUCGAAUCCUGUACGGUCCACCC
RNAcentral lists this transfer RNA (76 nucleotides) under Parcubacteria group bacterium CG1_02_50_68. RNAcentral describes it as "tRNA-Ala". It matches the Rfam family "tRNA". Rfam says of the family: Transfer RNA (tRNA) molecules are approximately 80 nucleotides in length. Their secondary structure includes four short double-helical elements and three loops (D, anti-codon, and T loops). RNAcentral also lists the same sequence under 6 other names. The record is from RNAcentral.